Homo sapiens (human) is the source of this 610-nucleotide long non-coding RNA. RefSeq lists it as uncharacterized. The transcript is spliced from 2 exons. Lineage: Eukaryota; Metazoa; Chordata; Mammalia; Primates; Hominidae. The record is from RefSeq and is a predicted model, not a curated record.
AGUGUGCUCUUGCGAUCAUGACUGUUGCAGGCAGCACCCUUCUCAGAAGUAAAUUUGCCUUGCUGAGAAGUCUUUUGAGAGCUCAUUUUCUUUGCAACUCCGAGCUCUUAUUUCCAACUAUUUGGGGGCUCAUCUGGCAUCCCAUUCUCCUCUAGGGAAGGGUCUCUGAUCACCUCUCAUGAGGAGAUGCGUCCUGCUGCCUCAUUGCAAUGGCCUCAGGAAUAAGGAAUCAAGACCCACCUGGUGUGACGAAUAAACCUGGACUCUCAGCAAUGAAGGAAGAAAAGUCCUACAAAUACUGUGGCGACCAGGUAACUCCUCUGCACACACCAAGGAUUCAAGGCCUCCUAGCGCAAACACCACCUCUCAAAUUCCCAGUCCACCAACAUCAACCCAGAGAUCACAUCCUUGUCAAAAUCUGGAAAGAGGGAAAGCUUGAGCCCACCUGAGAAGAACCUUACCUAGUGCUCCUAACAACUGAGCAGUCCGAACUGCUGAAAAGGGGUGGAUCCAUUAUACCCAAGUCAGAAAGGCACUGCCCUCUCCAAAGCCAUGGACCGUCGUCCCAGGGCCAACUCUCACCAGAGUAACAUUAAAGAGAAAAGCCUAA